Molecule: ribosomal RNA, 253 nt
Filed under: uncultured bacterium
Lineage: Bacteria
Description: partial 16S ribosomal RNA
Rfam family: Bacterial small subunit ribosomal RNA
Source: RNAcentral
UACGUAGGGUGCAAGCGUUAAUCGGAAUUAUUGGGCGUAAAGAGCUCGUAGGCGGUCUGUCGCGUCUGCUGUGAAAACUCGGGGCUUAACCCCGGGCCUGCAGUGGGUACGGGCAGACUAGAGUGCGGUAGGGGAGACUGGAAUUCCUGGUGUAGCGGUGAAAUGCGCAGAUAUCAGGAGGAACACCGGUGGCGAAGGCGGGUCUCUGGGCCUUACCUGACGCUCAGGUGCGAAAGCUAGGGGAGCGAACAGG